UGGGGAAUUUUGGACAAUGGGCGCAAGCCUGAUCCAGCCAUGCCGCGUGCGGGAAGAAGGCCUUCGGGUUGUAAACCGCUUUUGUCAGGGAAGAAAUCUUCUGAGUUAAUACCUCGGGAGGAUGACGGUACCUGAAGAAUAAGCACCGGCUAACUACGUGCCAGCAGCCGCGGUAAUACGUAGGGUGCAAGCGUUAAUCGGAAUUACUGGGCGUAAAGCGUGCGCAGGCGGUUUUGUAAGACAGAGGUGAAAUCCCCGGGCUCAACCUGGGAACUGCCUUUGUGACUGCAAGGCUUGAGUGCGGCAGAGGGGGAUGGAAUUCCGCGUGUAGCAGUGAAAUGCGUAGAUAUGCGGAGGAACACCGAUGGCGAAGGCAAUCCCCUGGGCCUGCACUGACGCUCAUGCACGAAAGCGUGGGGAGCAAACAGGAUUAGAUACCCUGGUAGUCCACGCCCUAAACGAUGUCAACUGGUUGUUGGGAAGGUUCCUUCCCAGUAACGUAGCUAACGCGUGAAGUUGACCGCCUGGGGAGUACGGCCGCAAGGUUGAAACUCAAAUGAA
Molecule: ribosomal RNA, 561 nt
Filed under: uncultured bacterium
Lineage: Bacteria
Description: partial 16S ribosomal RNA
Rfam family: Bacterial small subunit ribosomal RNA
Source: RNAcentral